RNAcentral lists this microRNA precursor (85 nucleotides) under Sorex araneus (European shrew). RNAcentral's name for it is "miRNA (ENSSARG00000017115.1)". Lineage: Eukaryota; Metazoa; Chordata; Mammalia; Eulipotyphla; Soricidae. The record is from RNAcentral.
UCUUUCCCACCUCUGCCACCCUCACCCCCAAGUGGCCUAGGACAGGACUGGGCUGCCCUUAGCCUGGGUUCGGCUGGCUGGCGGG